CAAAGAAAAAAUAAGAAACCUUUGGGAACACAAAGCUGUCUUGGGCUGAUGCGUCUAAAGUUCUAUUCUGCUUUUGCAACAGUUUUUAACUGACACUUCAUUGCAGAAAUUAGCCCAAAUGACAAGAGGAUAUCAGGGUUGUGCCAGAGCCCUGAUAGCAGCGUAACAAAAACAAAAAAAAGAUCUGCUAAUCCAUGCUGGUCUGUGGAAUGUUUGUUGUAAAUGGCAAGGAGAUAAAGAGCUUGUGCAAGAAUGUAAAGCACUUUGUGACUAAACAUGCUAUUUAUUUCCGAUGACUUUUGCUUUUCUCUAUAGCAAGACAUUCUCAAAAAAGAGGACCUGACAAAUCAUCCAGUAUGAUGGUACAUCCAGUUCAUAAAAGCAAAAUCAAACAAGAUUCACUGAUACUUCUGAUGGCAGUGAUGGCCCAUCUAGAGCAAGCUGCUGCAAAGAUGCCAGUGGAGGAGGCGUGGCCAGGGCUGUGCCCUCUACAGAGCCCAUGGGAACCAGGAACAGGUUUAGCUGACUUCUGAAAACGUGAAUGUUAAUUUAAAUUACAAGGGUGGAACCGCACAUCAGUCAGUGGAAUCAAAUGAAUAGAACUACACGUCAAUGUAUAAAAGAUAUCA
This is a non-coding RNA of Macaca mulatta (Rhesus monkey), 629 nucleotides long. Lineage: Eukaryota; Metazoa; Chordata; Mammalia; Primates; Cercopithecidae. The record is from RefSeq and is a predicted model, not a curated record.